GAUGAACGCUGACGGCGUGCCUAAUACAUGCAAGUCGAGCGAACGGACGAGAAGCUUGCUUCUCUGAUGUUAGCGGCGGACGGGUGAGUAACACGUGGAUAACCUACCUAUAAGACUGGGAUAACUUCGGGAAACCGGAGCUAAUACCGGAUAAUAUUUUGAACCGCAUGGUUCAAAAGUGAAAGACGGUCUUGCUGUCACUUAUAGAUAGAUCCGCGCUGCAUUAGCUAGUUGGUAAGGUAACGGCUUACCAAGGCAACGAUGCAUAGCCGACCUGAGAGGUUGAUCGGCCACACUGGAACUGAGCCACGGUCCAGACUCCUACGGGAGGCAGCAGUAGGGAAUCUUCCGCAAUGGGCGAAAGCCUGACGGAGCAACGCCGCGUGAGUGAUGAGGGUCUUCGGAUCGUAAAACUCUGUUAUUAGGGAAGAACAUAUGUGUAAGUAACUGUGCACAUCUUGACGGUACCUAAUCAGAAAGCCACGGCUAACUACGUG
This 497-nucleotide ribosomal RNA is filed under the name uncultured bacterium. Its description in RNAcentral is "partial 16S ribosomal RNA". It matches the Rfam family "Bacterial small subunit ribosomal RNA", at positions 28 to 507 of the family's 1533-position model. The record is from RNAcentral.